UAAAAAAUUUUGGCGGUAUUUUAAGCUUAUUAGAGGAAUUUGGUCUGUGAUGGACACAACGCCUUAAUCUUACUUAAUUUAGUAAUUUAAAUCAGUUUGUAUACCACUAUUUUAAUUAUUUUGAAUAGUUAUAUUUAAAAUUUUUUUUUAAAAAAAUAUAUUAAGUCAAGGUGCAUCUAAUAAUUAUGAAUGAAGUGAAUUACAUUAAUUUUAAUGUAAUUUUUUACAUGAAAAAAUUAAUUAGGAUUUAAUAGUAAAAUACUAAUAUUAUGAGUAUUUGAAUCAAGCUCUAAAAUAUGCACAUAUCGCCCGUCGCUCUCAGAAGUGAGAUAAGUCGUAACAAAGUAAAAAUACUGGAAAGUGUUUUUUAAAAUGAAAUCAUUUGAUGUUUCAUUUACAAUGAAAAUUUUGUUGUUUAACCAUUUUAA
Molecule: ribosomal RNA, 428 nt
Filed under: Ixodes scapularis (black-legged tick)
Lineage: Eukaryota; Metazoa; Arthropoda; Arachnida; Ixodida; Ixodidae
Description: partial 12S ribosomal RNA
Source: RNAcentral